This 424-nucleotide ribosomal RNA is filed under the name Photobacterium angustum. RNAcentral's name for it is "bacterial SSU rRNA". It matches the Rfam family "Bacterial small subunit ribosomal RNA", at positions 1 to 415 of the family's 1533-position model. Lineage: Bacteria; Pseudomonadati; Pseudomonadota; Gammaproteobacteria; Vibrionales; Vibrionaceae. The record is from RNAcentral.
ACUUUAAUUGAAGAGUUUGAUCAUGGCUCAGAUUGAACGCUGGCGGCAGGCCUAACACAUGCAAGUCGAGCGGUAACAGAUUGAUAGCUUGCUAUCAAUGCUGACGAGCGGCGGACGGGUGAGUAAUGCCUGGGAAUAUGCCCUGAUGUGGGGGAUAACUAUUGGAAACGAUAGCUAAUACCGCAUAAUCUCUUCGGAGCAAAGAGGGGGACCUUCGGGCCUCUCGCGUCAGGAUUAGCCCAGGUGGGAUUAGCUUGUUGGUGGGGUAAUGGCUCACCAAGGCAACGAUCCCUAGCUGGUCUGAGAGGAUGAUCAGCCACACUGGAACUGAGACACGGUCCAGACUCCUACGGGAGGCAGCAGUGGGGAAUAUUGCACAAUGGGGGAAACCCUGAUGCAGCCAUGCCGCGUGUAUGAAGAAGGC